This 328-nucleotide unclassified non-coding RNA is filed under the name uncultured Erysiphe. RNAcentral describes it as "sequence contains ITS1". The stretch from base 1 to 105 matches the Rfam family "5.8S ribosomal RNA", at positions 50 to 154 of the family's 154-position model. Lineage: Eukaryota; Fungi; Ascomycota; Leotiomycetes; Helotiales; Erysiphaceae. The record is from RNAcentral.
GAAAUGCGAUAAGUAAUGUGAAUUGCAGAAUUUAGUGAAUCAUCGAAUCUUUGAACGCACAUUGCGCCCCUUGGUAUUCCGAGGGGCAUGCCUGUUCGAGCGUCAUAACACCCCCUCCAGCUGCCGUUGUGUGGCUGCGGUGUUGGGGCUCGUCGCGAUGCGGCGGCCCUUAAAGACAGUGGCGGUCCCGGCGUGGGCUCUACGCGUAGUAACUUGCUUCUCGCGACAGAGUGACGCCCGGUGGCUUGCCAGAACAACCCCUAUUUGGGUCCAGUCGCAUGGAUCACAGGUUGACCUCGAAUCAGGUAGGAAUACCCGCUGAACUUAA